GACGAACGCUGGCGGCGUGCUUAACACAUGCAAGUCGAACGGAAAGGCCCUGCUUUUGUGGGGUGCUCGAGUGGCGAACGGGUGAGUAACACGUGAGUAACCUGCCCUUGACUUUGGGAUAACUUCAGGAAACUGGGGCUAAUACCGGAUAGGAGCUCCUGCUGCAUGGUGGGGGUUGGAAAGUUUCGGCGGUUGGGGAUGGACUCCCGGCUUAUCAGCUUGUUGGUGGGGUAGGGGCUUACCAGGGCUUUGACGGGUAGCCGGCCUGAGAGGGUGACCGGCCACAUUGGGACUGAGAUACCGCCCAGACUCCUACGGGAGGCAGCAGUGGGGAAUAUUGCACAAUGGGCGGAAGCCUGAUGCAGCAACGCCGCGUGCGGGAUGACGGCCUUCGGGUUGUAAACCGCUUUCGCCUGUGACGAAGCGUGAGUGACGGUAAUGGGUAAAGAAGCACCGGCUAACUACGUG
This 468-nucleotide ribosomal RNA is filed under the name uncultured bacterium. Its description in RNAcentral is "partial 16S ribosomal RNA". It matches the Rfam family "Bacterial small subunit ribosomal RNA", at positions 28 to 507 of the family's 1533-position model. The record is from RNAcentral.